RNAcentral lists this ribosomal RNA (162 nucleotides) under uncultured bacterium. Its description in RNAcentral is "partial 16S ribosomal RNA". It matches the Rfam family "Bacterial small subunit ribosomal RNA", at positions 1339 to 1500 of the family's 1533-position model. The record is from RNAcentral.
UAAUCGCAGAUCAGCAUGCUGCGGUGAAUACGUUCCCGGGCCUUGUACACACCGCCCGUCACACCAUGGGAGUCGGUAACACCCGAAGUCGGUAGCCUAACCGUAAGGAGGGCGCCGCCGAAGGUGGGAUUGAUGACUGGGGUGAAGUCGUAACAAGGUAAC